GCGGGAAUAGCUCAGCUGGCUAGAGCGUCAGCCUUCCAAGCUGAGGGUCGCGGGUUCGAAUCCCGUUUCCCGCU
This 74-nucleotide transfer RNA is filed under the name Candidatus Schekmanbacteria bacterium GWA2_38_9. RNAcentral's name for it is "tRNA-Gly". It matches the Rfam family "tRNA". Rfam says of the family: Transfer RNA (tRNA) molecules are approximately 80 nucleotides in length. Their secondary structure includes four short double-helical elements and three loops (D, anti-codon, and T loops). Further hydrogen bonds mediate the characteristic L-shaped molecular structure. tRNAs have two regions of fundamental functional importance: the anti-codon, which is responsible for specific mRNA codon recognition, and the 3' end, to which the tRNAs corresponding amino acid is attached (by aminoacyl-tRNA synthetases). tRNAs cope with the degeneracy of the genetic code in two manners: having more than one tRNA (with a specific anti-codon) for a particular amino acid; and 'wobble' base-pairing, i.e. permitting non-standard base-pairing at the 3rd anti-codon position. The record is from RNAcentral. Lineage: Bacteria; Candidatus Schekmaniibacteriota. RNAcentral also lists the same sequence under 3 other names.